This 514-nucleotide ribosomal RNA is filed under the name uncultured bacterium. Its description in RNAcentral is "bacterial SSU rRNA". It matches the Rfam family "Bacterial small subunit ribosomal RNA", at positions 31 to 518 of the family's 1533-position model. The record is from RNAcentral.
GAACGCUGGCGGCGUGCCUAAUACAUGCAAGUCGAACGGUCUUUCUAUGGAAGCUUGCUUCCACUGAGAAGAUAGUGGCGAACGGGUGAGUAACACGUGGGUAACCUGCCCAUAAGAGGGGGAUAACAUCCGGAAACGGGUGCUAAUACCGCAUAGUUUUCUUGAUUGCAUGAUCGGGAAAGGAAAGACGGCCUUUGUGCUGUCGCUUAUGGAUGGACCCGCGGCGUAUUAGUUAGUUGGUGAGGUAACGGCUCACCAAGACGAUGAUACGUAGCCGACCUGAGAGGGUGAUCGGCCACAUUGGGACUGAGACACGGCCCAAACUCCUACGGGAGGCAGCAGUAGGGAAUCUUCCGCAAUGGACGAAAGUCUGACGGAGCAACGCCGCGUGAGUGAAGAAAGGUUUUCGGAUCGUAAAACUCUGUUGUCAGAGAAGAACAAGUUGGAGAGUAACUGCUCCAGCCUUGACGGUAUCUGACCAGAAAGCCACGGCUAACUACGUGCCAGCCGCCGC